This 493-nucleotide long non-coding RNA is filed under the name Nicotiana benthamiana. Its description in RNAcentral is "long non-coding RNA (NBEN_LNC009635)". Lineage: Eukaryota; Viridiplantae; Streptophyta; Magnoliopsida; Solanales; Solanaceae. The record is from RNAcentral.
GGAUGCAUAUCCAUGUGGACAAUAUAAACUGCAACCUAUGUGAAGAAGAGCAGCCGGAAACAAAGGGCAUUUAUUUGUUGACUAGGAUUUGAAAAAAGCAGUUAGGUGUGAGGUCAACCAAUGGAUAGGACAGAAAAUACAGAAGGUGAUUUCAAGCAAAUGCAGGAAACGAUUAAAAGGAAGCAGGGGAAAGAGUUUAGAAAAGAGGUGAUAGCAGCAGUCAAUGGAGCAGUGAUAUACCUAGAGCUGUCAAAUUUGGCCCAAGCCCAAAUGACCGGCCCAAUCUACCCAAGAUUGGGUUGGUAAUUUAUCCAGCCAUUUAUUGAACUUAGUCCAUCUUGACCCAACUGCCUUAUAAAAAGGACAAUGCGAUCGUUGCAAAUAUAAUCUGGUUUACAAGUCCGGAGUCGAAUCCCAUAGAGAACUAAGGUUUAGCUACAGUUGUUCACUAUUACCAAGAAGACAAGCUUGAACAAUUCCUAACUUAUAGAUA